GAUGAACGCUGGCGGCGUGUCUAAGGCAUGCGAAGUCGAACGGACUGUUAUUUGUAGCAAUACUUAGAACAGUUAGUGGCAAACGGGUGCGUAACACAUUGGUAACCUGCCUCAAAGUCGGGCAUAAUCCCGCGAAAGUGGGACUAAUUCCACGAUGGUCAUCGAAGGUUGAGAUUCCUUCGAUGUAAAGUCGCAAGACGCUUUGAGAGGGGCCUAUGGCCUAUCAGCUUGUUGGUGAGGUAACGGCUCACCAAGGGCUAUGACGGGUAGGGGGUGUGAGAGCACGACCCCCCUCACUGGGACUGAGACACUGCCCAGACACCUACGGGUGGCUGCAGUCGAGAAUAUUCCCCAAUGGCCGAAAGGCUGAGGGAGCGACGCCGCGUGCAGGAUAAGGCCU
Molecule: ribosomal RNA, 400 nt
Filed under: uncultured bacterium
Lineage: Bacteria
Description: bacterial SSU rRNA
Rfam family: Bacterial small subunit ribosomal RNA
Source: RNAcentral